GUCCUCAUGUUUUUAUUUGAGGUUUGGCCUGCCCGGUGAUUUUAAUUUAACGGCCGCGGUAUAUUGACCGUGCAAAGGUAGCAUAAUCAUUAGUCUUUUAAUAGGAGGCUGGAAUGAAAGGUUUAACGAAAAAUUAGCUGUCUCAAUUAUAAAUUUGAAUUUAACUUUUAAGUUAAAAGGCUUAAAUUUUUUUGUAGGACGAGAAGACCCUAUAGAGCUUUACAUUUAAUAUUUUGUUAUAUUGAUUUAGAUUAAUAUUUUUAAUUAACUUUAAAAAAAUGUUUUGUUGGGGUGACAAGAAAUAUAUAUUUAACUUUUAUUAUUAUAUUUUCAUUAAUUUAUGAUUAUUGGAUCCAAAAUUUUUGAUCAUUAGAAUAAGUUACCUUAGGGAUAACAGCGUAAUCUUCCCUCAGAGUUCAAAUUUACGGGAAGGGUUGCGACCUCGAUGUUGGAUUAAGAUAACAGUUGGGUGCAGUAGCUCAAUUUGUAGGUCUGUUCGACCUUUAAAUUCUU
This 513-nucleotide ribosomal RNA is filed under the name Paracercion melanotum. RNAcentral's name for it is "partial 16S rRNA". It matches the Rfam family "Bacterial large subunit ribosomal RNA", at positions 1831 to 2597 of the family's 2925-position model. Lineage: Eukaryota; Metazoa; Arthropoda; Insecta; Odonata; Coenagrionidae. The record is from RNAcentral.